Molecule: ribosomal RNA, 523 nt
Filed under: uncultured Hanseniaspora
Lineage: Eukaryota; Fungi; Ascomycota; Saccharomycetes; Saccharomycodales; Saccharomycodaceae
Description: eukaryotic LSU rRNA
Rfam family: Eukaryotic large subunit ribosomal RNA
Source: RNAcentral
AAACCAACUGGGAUUACCUUAGUAACGGCGAGUGAAGCGGUAAAAGCUCAAAUUUGAAAUCUGGUACUUUCAGUGCCCGAGUUGUAAUUUGUAGAAUUUGUCUUUGAUUAGGUCCUUGUCUAUGUUCCUUGGAACAGGACGUCAUAGAGGGUGAGAAUCCCGUUUGGCGAGGAUACCUUUUCUCUGUAAGACUUUUUCGAAGAGUCGAGUUGUUUGGGAAUGCAGCUCAAAGUGGGUGGUAAAUUCCAUCUAAAGCUAAAUAUUGGCGAGAGACCGAUAGCGAACAAGUACAGUGAUGGAAAGAUGAAAAGAACUUUGAAAAGAGAGUGAAAAAGUACGUGAAAUUGUUGAAAGGGAAGGGCAUUUGAUCAGACAUGGUGUUUUUUGCAUGCACUCGCCUCUCGUGGGCUUGGGCCUCUCAAAAAUUUCACUGGGCCAACAUCAAUUCUGGCAGCAGGAUAAAUCAUUAAGAAUGUAGCUACUUCGGUAGUGUUAUAGCUUUUUGGAAUACUGUUAGCCGGGU